This is a long non-coding RNA of Papaver somniferum (opium poppy), 1145 nucleotides long. RefSeq lists it as uncharacterized. NCBI's taxonomy places the organism in Eukaryota, Viridiplantae, Streptophyta, Magnoliopsida, Ranunculales, Papaveraceae. The transcript has 10 exons. The record is from RefSeq and is a predicted model, not a curated record.
UCCUCUCCUGCUUCUCUUCUCUUUUUUUUUUUUUCAAUCGAUUAGCCGAGAAACCAUCACAAAACCUCUCUUGUUUUCUUCAUCAUCUUCAAUAAUAUUUAAUCAUCGAUCUAUGUUUUGAAGUACUGAAGAACUUUAAAGAAUUUCUGCCAACUUAGAAGUGGUGGAAUUAGAAGGCUACACGAAGAAGAAGAAAAUGGAAGAGAUGGUCAAGAACAAGAAGCUGCUGAGGAAGUCUGUUGUUUGCUUUGAUGAUGGAAGGUGUAGCACCCAGCACCAAACUUUUUAGGUGACAAGCUGAAUAAGUGAUUUAGUCGGGAGGUUUCUUGUGUAGUUGCUGCAUACAUUUGAGGAAGUAGGAUUUCUUCCUCGCAGCAGUUUUAUUAGCAUUUCUUUACCUUAUUUCCUUGUAAUAAGGCUUUCACAGAGAGACACCGGUACUUGGUUGUGUAUAAUGAAGGUCAGUGCUUGGUUGCAGAGAAAGCUUCGAGGUAUCAUUGCCUCGACCUUUGGAGCUGAAGCCCCAGUUGUGAACCCAGAUGGUCUUGGAAAUGCACCAUUGCUCGUGUCCUAUAUUGGUCUAGCAAUAACUAUGUGAUGAUAUUAUAAUUGCCGAGUGUCAGCUGGACUUCCAAAACGUGAGAUGGUUUGGUGUUGAAGGGGACUAUAAUGUUCUCGUGAUGGAUUAAAUUGGACCUAAUCUUGAAAGUCUAUUAAACUUCUGCAGUAGGAAAAUCUCUUUAAAGUCUGUUCUGAUGCUUGCAGACCAGAUGGUCAAUCGUGUUGAAUUCGUACUCGCCAAAUCUUUUCUACAUCGAGAUAUGAAGCCAGAUAAUCUCCUCAUGGGGCUUGGAAGGCGUGCAAAUCAGGUGUACGUUGUUGGCUUUGGUUUGGCUAAGAUGUACAGAGAUAUUACAACACAUUCCAUAUAGGGUUGUGGAUGCAGGCAAGAUUAUGGAUGCAGCUGAAGUUGCCGAAAACAAGCUCUUUCUGCUUCAUCCAAAACUGCAACCAAACUGGAUAGCCAUAGUCGGAAGAAAGAAUGUGGGUUACAAUGCUAAUACGUCUCCACAAUGCAGGAAAGAAAGAUAAGAUCCUGUUAUCUUUGUAAGUUUGUAAAUAGUACUGCUUAUAGUGGUUUAUGU